This 282-nucleotide unclassified non-coding RNA is filed under the name Hevea brasiliensis (rubber tree). The record is from RNAcentral. Lineage: Eukaryota; Viridiplantae; Streptophyta; Magnoliopsida; Malpighiales; Euphorbiaceae.
GGAGUACUUACGUGUACACAAACCUUUAUCUGUAAGCCACAUAUGGAAUCUGCACCUGGGUUUAAUUCGGCUCUCCAAAUUAAAACACAGAUAUGCUGGAAAUAUAUCCAGUUCCUGCAAUGAGGAUCCCAAAUGCUGGCAGAGGAAGUUCACUUUCUGCUCUAGCAUUUCUGGCUUUUGGUUUAGGAUCUUUGGCAUCGUUCUUAUCAUCAUACAGAGCUUCGAGAAUGCAAUCCCCAAAUGAAGAAGGCAAUCAAAUCGCUCCUGCAGUUCACUACUAGU